This 254-nucleotide long non-coding RNA is filed under the name Elaeis guineensis (African oil palm). RNAcentral describes it as "long non-coding RNA (EGUI_LNC066678)". Lineage: Eukaryota; Viridiplantae; Streptophyta; Magnoliopsida; Arecales; Arecaceae. The record is from RNAcentral.
AGUCAAACUCCAGCAGCUUCACUACGAGUAGUAAUGUCAUUUCAGGUCAAAAGACCAGUCAAACAACUGCAGUAUCGAUAAAGUCACUAACGAAUGAGCAGACAUCAUGUGACUUCUCGUAUUGGUCACGCUCAGUGCUAGUUGUUCUCUAACAACCACCUGCACUCUCACUCCAGUGUCACUACACCAUAGACUUGAGACCCAUUUGUCUGAAAGAAGUGAUCUGUUCACUGGUCUAUCUGGAUCAAUCACCA